CCACCCCUUGUUGGGAAAUAAUAUGGUCGAGAUACUCCAAUUGUAGUUGGCCAAAAACACACUUCUUCUUAUUGAGCUUCAAUUUGUGCUGAUGCAGCACCUUCUUGUAAGUGGAUAGAAUGCUCAUGUUCUCUACUAGGGGGUAAUCCCUCUAAUUCCUGGAAAAUGUCUUCAUUGGCUGCCAAAUUGGAGAGAACUUGUCGUGGUACUGGAACAGUCCCAAAGUUCUUAAUUUC
Molecule: long non-coding RNA, 236 nt
Filed under: Vigna radiata
Lineage: Eukaryota; Viridiplantae; Streptophyta; Magnoliopsida; Fabales; Fabaceae
Description: long non-coding RNA (VRAD_LNC011722)
Source: RNAcentral